UUGCAUCUCCAUCCAAUUAAGCAUCAUCAUUUCACAAUCAAAACACCAACCAAUGUGCAAGAAAGAACACAUCUAAACAAACCCUAGGCCAUCGUGCAUAAUUUUUGCAAAAAUAUCCACAAAAUUCUAGAGAUCUUAAGGAUCACAAUGGAAAAAUCCUCAUGUAAUUUGGACAAGUAAUCAAGAAGCUAUGAAUUAUUGAAUGAGGAAA
RNAcentral lists this long non-coding RNA (211 nucleotides) under Lathyrus oleraceus (garden pea). Its description in RNAcentral is "Pisum sativum (pea) long non-coding RNA (PSAT_LNC023714)". The record is from RNAcentral. Lineage: Eukaryota; Viridiplantae; Streptophyta; Magnoliopsida; Fabales; Fabaceae.